This is a non-coding RNA of Phrynosoma platyrhinos (Desert horned lizard), 70 nucleotides long. The record is from the annotation of a GenBank genome assembly. NCBI's taxonomy places the organism in Eukaryota, Metazoa, Chordata, Lepidosauria, Squamata, Phrynosomatidae.
GGCUGUGACAUAGUGGUUUGAGUGCUGGACAACAACUCUAGAGACCACGGUUUGAAUCCCUGCUUGGCUG